Molecule: transfer RNA, 71 nt
Filed under: Dermacentor silvarum
Lineage: Eukaryota; Metazoa; Arthropoda; Arachnida; Ixodida; Ixodidae
Description: transfer RNA glycine (anticodon UCC)
Rfam family: tRNA
About the family: Transfer RNA (tRNA) molecules are approximately 80 nucleotides in length. Their secondary structure includes four short double-helical elements and three loops (D, anti-codon, and T loops). Further hydrogen bonds mediate the characteristic L-shaped molecular structure. tRNAs have two regions of fundamental functional importance: the anti-codon, which is responsible for specific mRNA codon recognition, and the 3' end, to which the tRNAs corresponding amino acid is attached (by aminoacyl-tRNA synthetases). tRNAs cope with the degeneracy of the genetic code in two manners: having more than one tRNA (with a specific anti-codon) for a particular amino acid; and 'wobble' base-pairing, i.e. permitting non-standard base-pairing at the 3rd anti-codon position.
Source: RNAcentral
GGGGCUAUAGCUCAGAGGUAGAGCGCUCGCUUUCCAUGCGAGAAGCCCAGGUUCGAUCCCCGGUACCUCCA